Molecule: ribosomal RNA, 2111 nt
Filed under: Salmonella enterica subsp. enterica serovar Kentucky
Lineage: Bacteria; Pseudomonadati; Pseudomonadota; Gammaproteobacteria; Enterobacterales; Enterobacteriaceae
Description: partial 23S ribosomal RNA
Rfam family: Bacterial large subunit ribosomal RNA
Source: RNAcentral
UGUUUCGGCUAGGGGGCCAUCCCGGCUUACCAACCCGAUGCAAACUGCGAAUACCGGAGAAUGUUAUCACGGGAGACACACGGCGGGUGCUAACGUCCGUCGUGAAGAGGGAAACAACCCAGACCGCCAGCUAAGGUCCCAAAGUCAUGGUUAAGUGGGAAACGAUGUGGGAAGGCCCAGACAGCCAGGAUGUUGGCUUAGAAGCAGCCAUCAUUUAAAGAAAGCGUAAUAGCUCACUGGUCGAGUCGGCCUGCGCGGAAGAUGUAACGGGGCUAAACCAUGCACCGAAGCUGCGGCAGCGAACGUAUCACUUAAAGCGAUUCAGCGGGUUACGAUUGACGGAGCGAAGCGACGUCAAAGCGUAUACAAAGUCGAGUCGGUUUAAGGAUACGUUCGUUGGGUAGGGGAGCGUUCUGUAAGCCUGUGAAGGUGGCCUGUGAGGGUUGCUGGAGGUAUCAGAAGUGCGAAUGCUGACAUAAGUAACGAUAAAGCGGGUGAAAAGCCCGCUCGCCGGAAGACCAAGGGUUCCUGUCCAACGUUAAUCGGGGCAGGGUGAGUCGACCCCUAAGGCGAGGCCGAAAGGCGUAGUCGAUGGGAAACGGGUUAAUAUUCCCGUACUUGGUGUUACUGCGAAGGGGGGACGGAGAAGGCUAUGUUGGCCGGGCGACGGUUGUCCCGGUUUAAGCGUGUAGGUGUGUGUUCCAGGUAAAUCCGGUUCACUUUAACACUGAGGCGUGACGACGAGGCACUACGGUGCUGAAGCAACAAAUGCCCUGCUUCCAGGAAAAGCCUCUAAGCAUCAGGUAACAUCAAAUCGUACCCCAAACCGACACAGGUGGUCAGGUAGAGAAUACCAAGGCGCUUGAGAGAACUCGGGUGAAGGAACUAGGCAAAAUGGUGCCGUAACUUCGGGAGAAGGCACGCUGACACGUAGGUGAAGUGAUUUACUCAUGGAGCUGAAGUCAGUCGAAGAUACCAGCUGGCUGCAACUGUUUAUUAAAAACACAGCACUGUGCAAACACGAAAGUGGACGUAUACGGUGUGACGCCUGCCCGGUGCCGGAAGGUUAAUUGAUGGGGUCAGCGCAAGCGAAGCUCCUGAUCGAAGCCCCGGUAAACGGCGGCCGUAACUAUAACGGUCCUAAGGUAGCGAAAUUCCUUGUCGGGUAAGUUCCGACCUGCACGAAUGGCGUAAUGAUGGCCAGGCUGUCUCCACCCGAGACUCAGUGAAAUUGAACUCGCUGUGAAGAUGCAGUGUACCCGCGGCAAGACGGAAAGACCCCGUGAACCUUUACUAUAGCUUGACACUGAACAUUGAGCCUUGAUGUGUAGGAUAGGUGGGAGGCUUUGAAGUGUGGACGCCAGUCUGCAUGGAGCCGACCUUGAAAUACCACCCUUUAAUGUUUGAUGUUCUAACGUGGACCCGUUACCCGGGUUGCGGACAGUGUCUGGUGGGUAGUUUGACUGGGGCGGUCUCCUCCUAAAGAGUAACGGAGGAGCACGAAGGUUGGCUAAUCCUGGUCGGACAUCAGGAGGUUAGUGCAAUGGCAUAAGCCAGCUUGACUGCGAGCGUGACGGCGCGAGCAGGUGCGAAAGCAGGUCAUAGUGAUCCGGUGGUUCUGAAUGGAAGGGCCAUCGCUCAACGGAUAAAAGGUACUCCGGGGAUAACAGGCUGAUACCGCCCAAGAGUUCAUAUCGACGGCGGUGUUUGGCACCUCGAUGUCGGCUCAUCACAUCCUGGGGCUGAAGUAGGUCCCAAGGGUAUGGCUGUUCGCCAUUUAAAGUGGUACGCGAGCUGGGUUUAGAACGUCGUGAGACAGUUCGGUCCCUAUCUGCCGUGGGCGCUGGAGAACUGAGGGGGGCUGCUCCUAGUACGAGAGGACCGGAGUGGACGCAUCACUGGUGUUCGGGUUGUCAUGCCAAUGGCACUGCCCGGUAGCUAAAUGCGGAAGAGAUAAGUGCUGAAAGCAUCUAAGCACGAAACUUGCCCCGAGAUGAGUUCUCCCUGAGACUUAGAGUCUCCUGAAGGAACGUUGAAGACGACGACGUUGAUAGGCCGGGUGUGUAAGCGCAGCGAUGCGUUGAGCUAACCGGUACUAAUGAACCGUGAGG